AGAGUUUGAUCCUGGCUCAGGACGAACGCUGGCGGCGUGCUUAACACAUGCAAGUCGAACGGUGAACCUGCUUCGGUGGGGGAUCAGUGGCGAACGGGUGAGUAACACGUAGGCAACCUGCCCUCAGCUCUGGAAUAACCCCGGGAAACCGAGGCUAAUACCGGAUAUGACCCUGCUUGGCAUCAUGUGGGGUGGAAAGUUUUUCGGCUGGGGAUGGGCCUGCGGCCUAUCAGCUUGUUGGUGGGGUAACGGCCUACCAAGGCGACUACGGGUAGCCGGCCUGAGAGGGUGACCGGCCACACUGGGACUGAGACACGGCCCAGACUCCUACGGGAGGCAGCAGUGGGGAAUAUUGCGCAAUGGGCGAAAGCCUGACGCAGCGACGCCGCGUGAGGGAUGACGGCCUUCGGGUUGUAAACCUCUUUCGGUAGGGAUGAAGCCUUCGGGUGACAGUACCUGCAGAAGAAGCACCGGCUAACUACGUGCCAGCAGCCGCGGUAACACGUAGGGUGCGAGCGUUGUCCGGAAUUAUUGGGCGUAAAGAGCUCGUAGGCGGUCCGUCACGUCGGGUGUGAAAUUCCAGGGCUCAACCCUGGACCUGCACUCGAUACGGGCGGACUAGAGUUCGGUAGGGGAGACUGGAAUUCCUGGUGUAGCGGUGAAAUGCGCAGAUAUCAGGAGGAACACCGGUGGCGAAGGCGGGUCUCUGGGCCGAUACUGACGCUGAGGAGCGAAAGCGUGGGGAGCGAACAGGAUUAGAUACCCUAGUAGUCC
Molecule: ribosomal RNA, 774 nt
Filed under: uncultured bacterium
Lineage: Bacteria
Description: bacterial SSU rRNA
Rfam family: Bacterial small subunit ribosomal RNA
Source: RNAcentral